This is a non-coding RNA of Chelonoidis abingdonii (Abingdon island giant tortoise), 1442 nucleotides long. The record is from RefSeq and is a predicted model, not a curated record. NCBI's taxonomy places the organism in Eukaryota, Metazoa, Chordata, Testudines, Testudinidae.
CUCCCUCGGGCGGGCGGGGAACGGGAAUGGGACGCAAGCGCCCGCCUCUCUCGCUGCCCCUCCCCAGCAAAUCCAGCGUCCUGCACUGGGCCAAACCGAGCCGCAAGCCCCGCUGCUGCAGCGCCAGCUGAGUGACAUGCACCGCGCCCGCGUGUCCGGGCCUCCCUCUCCUCCCUUGCGAGCCGCGAUGUGAUGCAAGCAGAACAGGGCACACGAACAUAUUUCACAACCUGCCUGCCAUGGAGGCAGAGCGGGCGUGGGGCUGCUGCUCCCGGGCACAGGCUCUGCACCGUUCUCCCUCGCAAUGGCUGAGAUCACCGUGAAUGUGAAGAAGAUGGACUAUCCAGGUCCAGCUGGAGGGCUGAGCCUCUUAAGAGUGGAAGUGGAGUGGGAAAAAUACCUGGCCAUCCCCGCAGAGUGAGGGGGUGCUGGGCCCUGCCCCACAGACAACAUGGGGAAGGAACUCUGCGUUUUGCUAUAGGCAAGCAAGACAUGGACACUAAGGACAUUAGGAGGCUUUCUAAUUUCACUUGGCUGGAAGACUGAGCCACUGAAGAUUUGCCUAAUGAGGCUGACAACCGAGAGGGAGUGUCAGGAGAAAAAAAGACUGCAGCACCAGACCCACCCAGCAGGAGGCACUCACAAAAAACUGAACGUCAUGUCUACCAAAUCAAAAUGCUACAGGCACUUGCUGAGUAUUAGCUAUACCUUUCACAUGACUAGCAAAUAGGUAAUCCCCUGAAUUUACAGCAUAACUGGAGUGAUAGCCAAUAUCACCAAAAGAAAGAAAACUUGAGUUUGUGGGAUAUGUGGGCUGGAUGAGCAGAAGAAGGUUGCUGAAGCUAGUUUUUAGGGACUGAGGCCAGGAGCCAGCAGCAGAGUGUUCCCACAACAAGUGUGGUUUGAUAAUGUGGCUGACUGGAUGGGAUGUGGCAUGGCGCACAACUCAAGGCUGUGCAAAGAUUGCGAGAUAUGGAGGAAGACUGCUGGACAAUGACUCCCAUGUGUUGUGGUUACUGUUCAUGGUGCUGUGACCUUAUGGUGCUUUGCACUAAGAGAAUAACACCAGUAAAAAGUGGUCAAAUAAAGACUAUGACUGGUCAAGUGUGUCUGAUGACUGUUGGGAAAGUUGUUGACUGGGUUUUCAGUAUACAGUCUGUGUCACCAUUGCAAAUGAGUGGCUCAUACUUCUCACAAGAUUCCUUUCUCUACCAGAGAGUCUAGUUUUGUAUGUAGACUCAUCACCCCAGAUUUUAAAGUCAGAAAGAUAGAAAUCAGAGCUGUGAUCCAUCAAGGCUGGUACCGUCUUCAACAGUGGCUUGUACCCAGUGCUUCAGAGUAAAAUCCAUUCUAGACAAUUAUAGAAUAGUCUGCCCAAAGGAGAAAUUUCUUCCUAAACCUCAGGGGUAGCCAUGUUAGUCUGGAUCUGUAAAAGCAGAGGA